This 30-nucleotide non-coding RNA is filed under the name Rattus norvegicus (Norway rat). The record is from RNAcentral. Lineage: Eukaryota; Metazoa; Chordata; Mammalia; Rodentia; Muridae.
UAGGAGCAAAAGUGCAGGUCUGACUGCCGU